Molecule: ribosomal RNA, 293 nt
Filed under: uncultured microorganism
Description: partial 16S ribosomal RNA
Rfam family: Bacterial small subunit ribosomal RNA
Source: RNAcentral
GUGCCAGCAGCCGCGGUAAUACAGAGGGUUGCGAGCGUUAAUCGGAUUUACUGGGCGUAAAGCGUGCGUAGGCGGCUUUUUAAGUCGGAUGUGAAAUCCCUGAGCUUAACUUAGGAAUUGCAUUCGAUACUGGGAAGCUAGAGUAUGGGAGAGGAUGGUAGAAUUCCAGGUGUAGCGGUGAAAUGCGUAGAGAUCUGGAGGAAUACCGAUGGCGAAGGCAGCCAUCUGGCCUAAUACUGACGCUGAGGUACGAAAGCAUGGGGAGCAAACAGGAUUAGAUACCCUGGUAGUCC